GGACCCGCACAAGCAGCGGAGCAUGUGGUUUAAUUCGAAGCAACGCGAAGAACCUUACCAGGGCUUGACAUCCCACUGACCGGCGCGUAAUGGUGCCUUCCCUUUUAGGGCAGUGGAGACAGGUGGUGCAUGGUUGUCGUCAGCUCGUGUCGUGAGAUGUUGGGUUAAGUCCCGUCAACGAGCGCAACCCUUGCCAUCAGUUGCCAGCGGUUAGGCCGGGCACUCUGGUGGGACUGCCGGGGAGAACUCGGAGGAAGGUGGGGAUGACGUCAAAUCAUCAUGCCCCUUAUGUUCUGGGCUACACACGUGCUACAAUGGCCGGCACAGAGGGAAGCAAAGGCGCGAGCCGGAGCGAAACCUAAAAGCCGGUCCCAGUUCGGAUUGCAGGCUGCAACUCGCCUGCAUGAAGUCGGAGUUGCUAGUAAUCGCGAAUCAGAACGUCG
RNAcentral lists this ribosomal RNA (443 nucleotides) under uncultured Bacillota bacterium. Its description in RNAcentral is "bacterial SSU rRNA". It matches the Rfam family "Bacterial small subunit ribosomal RNA", at positions 917 to 1359 of the family's 1533-position model. The record is from RNAcentral. Lineage: Bacteria; Bacillati; Bacillota.